This 620-nucleotide ribosomal RNA is filed under the name uncultured Russula. RNAcentral's name for it is "eukaryotic LSU rRNA". The stretch from base 183 to 336 matches the Rfam family "5.8S ribosomal RNA". The record is from RNAcentral. Lineage: Eukaryota; Fungi; Basidiomycota; Agaricomycetes; Russulales; Russulaceae.
ACAACCGAGGUGCAAAGGCUGUCGCUGACCCUCAAAGGUUGUGCACGCCCGAGCGCUCUCACACAAUCCAUCUCACCUUUGUGCAUCACCGCGUGGGUCCCCUUUGCGGGAGGGCUCGCGUUUUCACAUAAUAACUCGAUACAGUGUAGAAUGUUUCUUUUGCGGUCACACGCAAUCAAUACAACUUUCAACAACGGAUCUCUUGGCUCUCGCAUCGAUGAAGAACGCAGCGAAAUGCGAUACGUAAUGUGAAUUGCAGAAUUCAGUGAAUCAUCGAAUCUUUGAACGCACCUUGCGCCCCUUGGCAUUCCGAGGGGCACACCCGUUUGAGUGUCGUGAAUUCUUCAAAACCCUUUUUUCUUCGAACCAUCGUGGUCGGGAAAAGGAUUUUUGGACUUGGAGGUUUAAUGCUCGCCCUUUCUUUUGAAAGCGAGCUCCUCUUAAAUGAAUUAGUGGGGUCCGCUUUGCUGAUCCUUGACGUGAUAAAAUGUUUCUACGUUUUGGGUUUAGCACUGUCGCUUGGAUGCCUGCUCCUAACCCGUCUCAUUGACAAUGAUGGUGCUCUGGUCACUGCCGUCUACAUCGGCGGGAGGCUGGACCCACAAAAAGAAAANNCUUGA